GAACAGAGCCAGGCAUUCUUUCCAGCUGCGACGGUUGACGACCAGAGAACCGAUGAAAACCUGUGGCGACCCAAGGUGGCAGUGGCGAUCGCCGCACGUCAUCGUGGUGUGCGUGGCGGUGAAGACAUCGGGGUUCGGAGUCCGAAGAUCUGAGCGUCCAGGAAGAAGUUGCUGCGGCCGAGGUUGAAGAGGUUGCUGAAACAAAUUUAGCAGACCAAACAGAACCAGAAAGAAAAAUAAGUAUAUUAAGGCAAAAAGAAAUGGAUUAUAAAGAAAUGAGUCACCAAACAUACGUAGCCUGAAGUGGUUAUAGGGAACCAGGAUACAAAAUCGAGCAGCAGAAGAGCCAGAGAGACCAGCAAAAAGAAUGGCAAGAUGAAUGGAAAGACAAAACAGUUCAUUAUAGAAGAAAAUAAGCCCAAAGAAGUCAAUAUCUUCUAGAGAAACAAAGUAUGAUGGAGAGACUUGUCCUAGCAAAAAUUAGGAUUUAUGAUGAAGACACAGUUAUCAAGAUAACAUGGUACAGGAGCAGGGGUAAACAAUUUGAACAUUGGAGAGAACAAAGAUCCCAGGAACAGAUUUACUUAUCUGUCAUGGAAGAUCAGUGAUGAAAAGAAGUGCUAUUCCACAAGUGGAUCUGAAAAAAAAAUGUAAUUCAGAUUGGAAAAAAAAUGGGAUUUAUCCCUACCUCACACCAUAGAUAAUUGAUCCAGAUGGAUCAAACUUACACGUCAAGAACAAAAUUUUACAAGUUUUGAUAUAAAAUACAGGUAAAUAUUAUUUUGAUUGGGGGAGAGAUAAGACUAUCUUAAACAAAAAGUGUUAACUCAGAAAGAAUAUAUUGAUAAAUUUGGCUCAUAUAA
Long non-coding RNA from Zalophus californianus (California sea lion), 863 nucleotides. RefSeq lists it as uncharacterized. The transcript has 4 exons. Lineage: Eukaryota; Metazoa; Chordata; Mammalia; Carnivora; Otariidae. The record is from RefSeq and is a predicted model, not a curated record.